This 145-nucleotide ribosomal RNA is filed under the name uncultured bacterium. Its description in RNAcentral is "partial 16S ribosomal RNA". It matches the Rfam family "Bacterial small subunit ribosomal RNA", at positions 355 to 497 of the family's 1533-position model. The record is from RNAcentral.
UGAGGAAUAUUGCGCAAUGGAGGCAACUCUGACGCAGCCAUGCCGCGUGCAGGAAGAAGGCGCUACGCGUUGUAAACUGCUUUUAAUCGGGAAGAAACCCCGGGACGUGUCCCGGGUUGACGGUACCGAUGGAAUAAGCACCGGC